RNAcentral lists this ribosomal RNA (483 nucleotides) under uncultured bacterium. RNAcentral describes it as "partial 16S ribosomal RNA". It matches the Rfam family "Bacterial small subunit ribosomal RNA", at positions 30 to 507 of the family's 1533-position model. The record is from RNAcentral.
UUGAACGCUGGCGGCAGGCCUAACCCAUGCCAGUCGAGCGGAUGAAGGGAGCUUGCUCCUGGAUUCAGCGGCGGACGGGUGAGUAAUGCCUAGGAAUCUGCCUGGUAGUGGGGGAUAACGUCCGGAAACGGGCGCUAAUACCGCAUACGUCCUGAGGGAGAAAGUGGGGGAUCUUCGGACCUCACGCUAUCAGAUGAGCCUAGGUCGGAUUAGCUAGUUGGUGGGGUAAAGGCCUACCAAGGCGACGACCCGUAACUGGUCUGAGAGGAUGAUCAGUCACACUGGAACUGAGACACGGUCCAGACUCCUACGGGAGGCAGCAGUGGGGAAUAUUGGACAAUGGGCGAAAGCCUGAUCCAGCCAUGCCGCGUGUGUGAAGAAGGUCUUCGGAUUGUAAAGCACUUUAAGUUGGGAGGAAGGGCAGUAAGUUAAUACCUUGCUGUUUUGACGUUACCAACAGAAUAAGCACCGGCUAACUUCGUG